UGCAGAACCACCUGGCCGUUCCUCUGCCUAGGGGCUGGACAUGCCAGCCCCUUCCAGAAGCAGCGUGGAGCCAGGGCAGGCAGGGAGCCUGCCUUAGCCCACUGCACCACGGACCAGGAACUGCCUCAAGUGGCAAUAUGAACAAUCAAAGAGAAUUGCUGUUGCUGGAAAAGGAUGGGGAGAUCUAGCAUCAUGAUGAUUAAGCUGUGUGGCUGCGUUUGCAUGGUGGGAGCAACAUUUAGACCCAAUGCUGCAGAGAUUGAUGUGGUCCUCAGUUGUGGUACAAUUGUGUGGCUCUACUGAUGUACACCAACUAAGAGUCUGGCCCUUAAUGGAUUUUAAAAUGUCAUUGGAAUAUGGAUCUACAUCCUAGAAAAACAG
Molecule: long non-coding RNA, 381 nt
Organism: Mauremys reevesii (Reeves's turtle)
Lineage: Eukaryota; Metazoa; Chordata; Testudines; Geoemydidae
Exons: 3
Source: RefSeq, a predicted model, not a curated record